Molecule: transfer RNA, 86 nt
Filed under: Spirochaetaceae bacterium
Lineage: Bacteria; Pseudomonadati; Spirochaetota; Spirochaetia; Spirochaetales; Spirochaetaceae
Description: tRNA-Ser
Rfam family: tRNA
About the family: Transfer RNA (tRNA) molecules are approximately 80 nucleotides in length. Their secondary structure includes four short double-helical elements and three loops (D, anti-codon, and T loops). Further hydrogen bonds mediate the characteristic L-shaped molecular structure. tRNAs have two regions of fundamental functional importance: the anti-codon, which is responsible for specific mRNA codon recognition, and the 3' end, to which the tRNAs corresponding amino acid is attached (by aminoacyl-tRNA synthetases). tRNAs cope with the degeneracy of the genetic code in two manners: having more than one tRNA (with a specific anti-codon) for a particular amino acid; and 'wobble' base-pairing, i.e. permitting non-standard base-pairing at the 3rd anti-codon position.
Source: RNAcentral
GGAGAGAUGACCGAGCGGCCGAAGGUGCACGAUUGGAAAUCGUGUGUGCUCGAAAGGCACCGAGGGUUCGAAUCCCUCUCUCUCCG